RNAcentral lists this ribosomal RNA (253 nucleotides) under uncultured bacterium. RNAcentral's name for it is "partial 16S ribosomal RNA". It matches the Rfam family "Bacterial small subunit ribosomal RNA", at positions 524 to 776 of the family's 1533-position model. The record is from RNAcentral.
UACGUAGGGGGCAAGCGUUGUCCGGAUUUAUUGGGCGUAAAGAGCGUGUAGGCGGCUUGGAAGGUCAGCUGUGAAAACUCGAGGCUCAACCUCGAGACGUCGGUUGAAACCACCUGGCUAGAGUCCGGGAGAGGAGAGUGGAAUUCCUGGUGUAGCGGUGAAAUGCGCAGAUAUCAGGAAGAACACCCGUGGCGAAAGCGGCUCUCUGGAACGGUACUGACGCUGAGACGCGAAAGCGUGGGGAGCGAACAGG